UGAGGCUGGAGGAGGGGGCCUGUGGUUACAUUCUGGCACUGUACUUCUGAAUUUUGAUGAUCAUCUGUUGAAAAAUCACAUGGGCUAUUCUGUGUCAUCACUGCUGUCUCUUCCUUUUGGCAGGAACAAACACACAGUAUCAACACUGUACAGAUAUGCUUUAACCCAGCAGAUUAUUUCAGUGAGUUUGAUGUUGGUGGAGGUUGACAUGUUCUUAUAGGUACAGGGAGAAGUGAGACUCACAGGAAUGGAUAAUUUGAGGAAUGAAUUAGGAAUGCUGAAAAUUUUGCUGGGAUGAGAGGCCUGAGAUAUUGUUAUCUUGGAUAUGGAGCACUGUUGCCAUAGGAAGGUGACAGCGGCACGGGCUGGAGCGACCAGCUGGUGCUGUCAGGAAGAGCAAUGGGCAAGAGCUUUGCUUCAACAAACCCAAACUGUGGUCACAUCUGUGUGCUCAGCCUUUGACCUGGAGAGACCUACUGGGUUAUGCAAGUAAAGUAAGCACGUUUUUGCAUGGCACACCCCAAGUGCAGCUGAUGGUGCACUUCUUUGGGGAAGAUCCCCAGUCCUGUCCACUGCUGUGGUCCACAGAGCAACAUCUGCAAAGGGCAAGGCAAGAGCAGUUAAUGAGAAAAAUGACUGCAACUUAAAUCUGUGAGAACAUCCACUACCCUAUGCAUGUUCCUAAGGUGCAGUUUAUGGUGAGGCAUGGGGAUUCUGCAAUAAGAAGCCCCAGGAAUCUCAUGACCACAAGCAGCAGAGGCUUAUGUUGUUUAUACCUUCUAAACAUUGCUCUUCCAAUAAGACUGCCAUGUUGACCACUGCAGUGAGGGAUGUGUUCAUUCAUAUACACCGGCUACUCCAAACCACUGCCUUUCCUGAAGACAAGUAUUAUGUGGAGAGUUUCUUUACCCACCUUAG
RNAcentral lists this long non-coding RNA (918 nucleotides) under Numida meleagris (helmeted guineafowl). RNAcentral describes it as "lncRNA (ENSNMEG00000004193.1)". The record is from RNAcentral. Lineage: Eukaryota; Metazoa; Chordata; Aves; Galliformes; Numididae.